Molecule: ribosomal RNA, 372 nt
Filed under: uncultured Glomeromycotina
Lineage: Eukaryota; Fungi; Glomeromycota
Description: eukaryotic LSU rRNA
Source: RNAcentral
UUGAAAGGGAAACGAUUGAAGUCAGUCGUACCGGCGGGUAAUCAGCCUUUCGGGCAUGAUUCUGUGGAGCGUGAGGAGUUAAACGCCUUCAUGCCUGCAUAUUCGUGUACUUUGGGUGUACUUGCCUGUGUGGUUAGUUAACAUCAAUUUUGGUUAUCAUAAAAUGGUUGGAGGAAUGUAGCUUCGAUUUCGAUUGAAGUGUUAUAGCCUUCGGCAGAUGUGAUGAUCGGGAUUGAGGAUUGCAACGGAUACCCUUCGGGGCUACCUGUCUGGUCUCUGAUCGUUGCUCUGGUGCCGAAAGCGUGCUUACGGUUAUCAAAGUCGAUGGUCAAUAGGUUAGAACGGGUUAAAUUCGUUAAGGAUGUUGACGUA